UACGGAGGGUGCAAGCGUUAUCCGGAUUUAUUGGGCGUAAAGCGCGCGUAGGCGGCGCGGUAUGUCGUGCGUGAAAUCUCCCGGCUUAACUGGGAGGGGCCGUGCGAAACUGCCGGGCUUGAGGUCGGAAGGGGAAAGUGGAAUUCCGGGUGUAGUGGUGGAAUACGUAGAUAUCCGGAGGAACACCAGCGGCGAAGGCGGCUUUCUGGUCCGAUACUGACGCUGAGGUGCGAAAGCGUGGGGAGCGAUCCGG
This 253-nucleotide ribosomal RNA is filed under the name uncultured bacterium. Its description in RNAcentral is "partial 16S ribosomal RNA". It matches the Rfam family "Bacterial small subunit ribosomal RNA", at positions 524 to 776 of the family's 1533-position model. The record is from RNAcentral.